AUGGAUAAAAAACAAGAAGAUGAGGAAUUUGAGGCAGGACUGAUUCCAUUUGCUUUGGAAAUGGCGUCGUUAAGCAAAUCGUUGCCAUAUGCGUCAAGAAGAUUACCCCUUGUUACUGGCCUCCAAUGGGUGGAAGAGAAGGAGCGAGAUCCAAAAGCAUUCUACGCUAUGUUCAGAAUGAGGAGGUUAGUGUUUUACCCAUUGCAUGAUCUGUUGGUUGAGAACUAUGGCCUUCAGUCAACUUGCAACAUAUCAUCCAAAGAAGCGUUGGCGCUUUUUCUAUGGACUUUGGGGACAACGCAGACCACUGACAAUGUGGCGGAUCGGUUUGCACAUAGUCGUUCGGUCACCAACAAAAAAUUCCAUGAGGUUUUGGAGUGUGUAGACCGCAUGGCCGGUGACUACAUUAGGCCAAUGGAUCCAUCUUUCUCUGAACCUCAUCCAAUACUUAGAAAAACAAGGUUCUGGCCUCAUUUCAAAAAUGCUAUUGGAGCCAUAGAUGGAACACACAUUAAAGUGGUUGUGCCCAAGGAAUUGGAGCCCCAACAUAGGAAUAGGAAAGGGUACACAACCGAAAAUGUCAUGGCAGUGUGUGAUUUUGAUAUGAGGUUCACUUUUGUUGUUCCUGGAUGGCCCGGAUCUGUUCAUGACACACGUGUAUGGAGCGAUGCUAUAGUUCGCUAUGAGCAUUAUCCACAACCACCCACAGAUAAAUACUACCUUGUCGACUCCGGAUAUCCCAACAGAGUUGGAUAUCUAGCACCAUACAAAGGGCAAUGGUAUCAUGUACCUGAUUUCCAACAACACCCUCCCAUGGGGAGGUAUGAGACAUUCAACCAUCGACAUUCUUCUUUGCGCAAUGUUAUCGAAAGAUCAUUUGGUGUUCUCAAGAUGAAAUGGCGUAUUCUCCAAGGCAUACCACGGUACAAACCGGAGACCCAAAAGAUGAUCAUCACUGCAUGCAUGUGUCUUCACAACUACAUUCGUGAUAGCAAGUUACGUGAUGAGCAUUUUGACAAGUUUGACAAUGAUGCAUACGUGCAACCUCCACAGCCGUUUACAGGUGCCAACGCUUUACCACCUGACGAUGAUGGUACCAUGGCCGCUACACAUGAGGCUAUUGUCGUCAGCCUUGUACCUUGA
This 1143-nucleotide ribosomal RNA is filed under the name Triticum aestivum (bread wheat). RNAcentral's name for it is "partial small subunit ribosomal RNA". The record is from RNAcentral. Lineage: Eukaryota; Viridiplantae; Streptophyta; Magnoliopsida; Poales; Poaceae.